AAAAAAAAAAAAUCUCUCCACACAACAAACAUUUCUCCAACCUCCUCCCUCCCAAAAUAUUCCCAACACUUCAAUUUUCCCACAGAACCCCACGCCCAUCUCUUGGCCAUCUCUGUCUCCCACGCAUCAGGCAUCACUCUCAGAAAAUUCACUUGAAAAAAAAAAAAAGAAACAUUCCUCCACCCUUCCCCGCCCCCCAAAAAAACUCUCCUCUCUCGACUCCCCUAUCUCUCUUUCUAUGGUAAAAAAAAAAAACUUUCACAACUAAUAAGACACUGACUCACAACCCAAUUUUCGGCUGUCUCUCUUUCCUUUUCUCACAAAUCAUGCACAAAAGAGGGAGAAAGAAGCAAGAAAAUUGUUAUCCGCCUACGGAAAUCAUCAUCAUGGUCAUCAUUGUUUAGUUUUUCCCCUGCAAAACAAGGUUAGAGUGGUCAGGUCCAAGUACUGCAACAUGGCAACCCAAAUGCAUUGAAAUGGUCCAAUAUAUAUAUUUAUGUAAUCAGAAACCAAAAUUUGCAAUUUAGUCCCUAAUUUUUUGAGUAUUUUUAUUGUGGCUCUAAAAUUUUUGAUUUAUUUUAUUUAGGUCCUUAAUUUAAUUAUAUUUUGGUCCCUAAACUUUAUUUUUCUUUUGAUUUUGACCUCUAAUCUCUUUAAAUAUUAUAAUUUGAUCCAAAAGCUUUUAAAUUUUUGUAAUUAGGUCCCUGAUCUUUAUUAUUUCUUAAUUACAAUUGUUCAUCUCUAAUUGUUAAUCAUGCUUAAUUUAAAUGCAUUUAAUUCGUAAAUUUUAGGAAUUUUAUGUUUAUUCAUAUUUUUUAUAAUAAUAAAGUGAAUUUGCUAUAUGUUUACAUUUUCUUUUAAAUUAUUAAUUAAAUUGGUGCAUUGACUAUUUUGUUGAUUUUGUAGUAUAAAUAGGGUAAACUCUACCUCAUUUAGUCACUAUUUCAAGAGACGUAUCCUCUAUUAUUUUUAAAUUUCUUUUUGUGUGCUUCUAUAUAUUUUCUAUAUGUGUGAUUGCAUGUUUUAAGUGUUUUUUCUUUCAUUUUAUUCAUUUUUUUAGCUUUCAUUCAUUUCAAGUUUUCAUUUAUUUUAUUUAAUUUUUUAUGAUUAUUUGGGAGGUAUUUAAAGGCCAAAUUGUAAUAGAUAGGUGCCUAAGAAACGUAUUUAGCUAGGCCAUAUAAUAGAUAGAUUUUAUUUUUUGCCAAAAAUAUAAUUAGUUAGAUAAAUGUAAUAGAUAGGUUUAUUAUUUUUUAAAAUCCCCCUUUUAGAUUGUAGUUAGGGCUCCCAAUAUAAUAAUUAAGUAUUAUUUGCUUGCAUACUUGUGUGUUUAUAUGCUUAUGUGUUUUUCGCUUGUUUAGGAUUUUUGUAUAUAGAUAUUAUGCUUAUGUGCUAUGUACUCUACAUACUUUAUAUGUUUUAUGUGUUUAUUCGAUUUAAUUAUGUUUUAUAUGCUUUAUUUAUUUAUAAUGAGUGCAUGACGUCAUCACACUAGUCCAAUGCUAGUUGUGAUUUUUUCCCCGAUUUCUCAUUAGUCCAACGCUAGUUAGGACUUGUAAAAAUGAGUUAACCUAAUGCUAGACCCUUUACGCUAUCGAUACGCUAGAUUCAUGCUUUAGUGUGAUUUUUAUUGUAGCUCAUUUAUUUUUUCCUAUUUUUAGGAUUUUUUAUCAUUUGCAUGAUAUUUUUCCUAUUAUUAUUCUCUUACCCUUUAUAUGUUUGGAUCAUAUCAUUUAGAAUUGCAUUUAAUUUUAGAAAAUUAGAAAUAUGGUAGUCCAUUUGCUUGUUUAGAUUAGAAGAGUCACCCUUCGAACAUGAAAAAUGGACAAGUAUGAUUUUUUAACAUUAGCACGCUAUUACCCCUCUAUAAGAAGGAAAAUUGUCACGAAUUUUAGUCUUCCAUAUUCAUUAUGUUGUAUUCCCCCUUCUAGGUCAUGUACAUUUAUCCAUAUAUUAUAAUUUCCUUUUUUGAAUAUCAUCUUUUGUAUUUUUCGUGACCUCUUCAAAGAAUUACUCUUAGGUAUCACAAUUAAUGUGAUUGGUACCAAUUAAAUUUUGAAAAGAUAUUUCGACUCUCUAGAUAUCCCUUAGAUCUAGAUUUGCAUUCAUAUAGAAGCAUCCAAAACGUGAUAAGUUUUAUAAGUUAGACUAGAAAAAUUUUCGAUUAAAUCUCGCAACUGCUCAUUGGUUAGGAUGAAAGGGUGUCUUAAAUCAAAAUCUUUGCCUUCUCUUUCUUUAACUGUGACUUUCGAAUUCUUUUCUCUUAUUUUUAAAGAUAUGGAGUCGUCUAUGUAAACAUCAAAUUUUUGUCAAUUUUUAACGUUUUCUUGGAUUUUCAUCUAUUUAAUGAGCUAUCUGUUUUCCUGCAUCUUAAUUUUAUUUAUUCAUUUAUUUUUUCUUUUUCUCAUCUUUGUUUUAUUUUUAAGAAAAGGAAAAUAUGAAAAAAAAAAA
Coffea arabica (coffee) is the source of this 2448-nucleotide long non-coding RNA. RefSeq lists it as uncharacterized. NCBI's taxonomy places the organism in Eukaryota, Viridiplantae, Streptophyta, Magnoliopsida, Gentianales, Rubiaceae. The record is from RefSeq and is a predicted model, not a curated record.